RNAcentral lists this ribosomal RNA (254 nucleotides) under uncultured bacterium. Its description in RNAcentral is "partial 16S ribosomal RNA". It matches the Rfam family "Bacterial small subunit ribosomal RNA", at positions 524 to 776 of the family's 1533-position model. The record is from RNAcentral.
UACGUAGGGUGCAGGCGUUAAUCGGAAUUACUGGGCGUAAAGCGUGCGCAGGCGGUUUUUUAAGUCAGAUGUGAAAGCCCCGGGCUUAACCUGGGAACUGCGUUUGAAACUGGGAGACUUGAGUGUGGCAGAGGGGGGUGGAAUUCCACGUGUAGCAGUGAAAUGCGUAGAUAUGUGGAGGAACACCAAUGGCGAAGGCAGCCCCCUGGGUCAACACUGGCGCUGAGUGAGCGAAAGCCAGGGGAGCAAACGGG